RNAcentral lists this ribosomal RNA (429 nucleotides) under Bacteroidota bacterium. Its description in RNAcentral is "Bacteroidetes bacterium partial 16S ribosomal RNA". It matches the Rfam family "Bacterial small subunit ribosomal RNA", at positions 355 to 776 of the family's 1533-position model. Lineage: Bacteria; Pseudomonadati; Bacteroidota. The record is from RNAcentral.
UAGGGAAUCUCCGGCAAUGGGGGGAACCCUGACCGAGCAACGCCGCGUGAGUGAAGAAGGUUUUCGGAUCGUAAAGCUCUGUUGUUAAGGAAGAACGAGUGUGAGAAUGGAAAGUUCAUACUGUGACGGUACUUAACCAGAAAGGGACGGCUAACUACGUGCCAGCAGCCGCGGUAAUACGUAGGUCCCGAGCGUUGUCCGGAUUUAUUGGGCGUAAAGCGAGCGCAGGCGGUUAGAUAAGUCUGAAGUUAAAGGCAGUGGCUCAACCAUUGUAGGCUUUGGAAACUGUUUAACUUGAGUGCAGAAGGGGAGAGUGGAAUUCCAUGUGUAGCGGUGAAAUGCGUAGAUAUAUGGAGGAACACCGGUGGCGAAAGCGGCUCUCUGGUCUGUAACUGACGCUGAGGCUCGAAAGCGUGGGGAGCGAACAGG